RNAcentral lists this unclassified non-coding RNA (345 nucleotides) under soil metagenome. Its description in RNAcentral is "partial contains 5.8S ribosomal RNA, internal transcribed spacer 2, and large subunit ribosomal RNA". The stretch from base 1 to 120 matches the Rfam family "5.8S ribosomal RNA", at positions 35 to 154 of the family's 154-position model. The record is from RNAcentral.
GAUGAAGAACGUAGCGAAAUGCGAUAAGUAAUGUGAAUUGCAGAAUUCCGUGAAUCAUCGAAUCUUUGAACGCACAUUGCGCCCUCUGGUAUUCCGGGGGGCAUGCCUGUCCGAGCGUCAUUUGCAACCCUCAAGCCCGGCUUGUGUGAUGGGUGCCGUCCCCUACGGGACGCGCCCCGAAGACAAUGGCGGCGUCGCGGUUAUCCGAUCAGCCAAAGUGUAUGGGGCUUUGUCACUCACUUUACGGCCCGGACCGGCGCCAGUCCGAAUCAAUCUUUUUUCUAAAGUUGACCUCGGAUCAGGUAGGGAUACCCGCUGAACUUAAGCAUAUCAAUAAGCGGAGGA